RNAcentral lists this unclassified non-coding RNA (213 nucleotides) under soil metagenome. RNAcentral describes it as "partial internal transcribed spacer 1". The record is from RNAcentral.
ACCUUUCAAAUCAGGGUGCGGCGCGGCCCCCGAGGAGCGGAAACAAUCCUUGGGAGGUAUGCGGGGGCUUCGAGCCCCCCAUUUACGCACGCACGAUUGCCAUCCUUACUUUACGAGCACCUUCUGUUCUCCCUCGGCGGGGCAACCUGCCGUUGGUACCGAAUAAACUCUUUUUGCAUCUAGCAUUACCUGUUCCGAAACAAACAAUCGUUA